Harpia harpyja (harpy eagle) is the source of this 790-nucleotide long non-coding RNA. RefSeq lists it as uncharacterized. The record is from RefSeq and is a predicted model, not a curated record. The transcript is spliced from 5 exons. NCBI's taxonomy places the organism in Eukaryota, Metazoa, Chordata, Aves, Accipitriformes, Accipitridae.
CCCCUGCUCCUCACAGCGGUGGCGGCGCGGCCGCCGGAGCCGGCCCCCCUGUCCCCGGCUCAGGCCAUCAGAGCCCCUCGGGCCCCGCUUCCCCUUCCCGCCGGGCUCAGUCCUGGCCCCGACGUCUCCGGGCGCCCCCUCGGUGCCCGCCGCUCCCCGUCGGCCCGGCGGCCGCCGCUUAAUGCCUGAGGAGGAUUUAACGGGGGAGGGUCGGGCCACAGCGAGGGCUCGACCGGGGUGGGGGGGCUGAGCCGGAGAAAGUUACCGAGGUACUGGUUAUCAUGUGUGAGGGCUGAUUCAUGCCUACAUGGUAAACUGAUCUCUCUUGGCUCAGGAGAAAAUCAUGCCUGAACAGAAAGGUUCCUGCUGAAGUACCUGACAACAUCACUGAUGGUGAAGAGCUAAACUCCAAAAAACAGUUUUACAGAUGGAAAGCUCAUUCUGCGACAAACGCUGAUGAUGUCUCUACAUGUGGGAAGAAGUGGUGAAAAUACCAGAAAAAUUUGCCUUUCAGACUGGCCCUUCUGCUUCCAACUUUGAAACUCCUGGUUGUGUGCAGUACUGUGGCACAGUAACAGCUUCAGUCAUAGCUGCAACCCACAGAACAAUACACCAUGAGAGGAAUAACACAAUUACUUGUGACAACUAGAAAAUCAUCAGCAAGCAAUUAAUCCAGAUUGAAACCCUCUGAAAACUGAAUGAAACCCAUUGCUUCUUUAACUGGAGCAUGUUGUACUCCAUUACAGGUAUUUAAUAGAUUUAUGAAUUAAAUACAAAAUGCUAUCACGAA